Molecule: long non-coding RNA, 2680 nt
Organism: Herpailurus yagouaroundi (jaguarundi)
Lineage: Eukaryota; Metazoa; Chordata; Mammalia; Carnivora; Felidae
Exons: 3
Source: RefSeq, a predicted model, not a curated record
CAUGGCCCAUACUUUUCAACUCUCUCUGUCCACCUGCAGCCGACUCCACUUUAUGUACUGAUUCCACAAAUGUGGAGCCCCUGACCUCAGGCUGGUUACAGCCCAAUGAAGAAACACAGCAACAGCCUUACAACACAACACAAGCCAUGGAGAGAGGCCCUGUAAGGCUCCCAAGCUCAAAACUCAUAGCCCAAGCUUUGACCAAGAGGUGAAAUUUAUUCUUGCCAUUAACCAAAUGUUAUGGGAACAGCCAGAACAACCUGAAUAGCAGGAGGCGGAGAAGAUCCUAGCACUUCCCUAAACCAUCCAUUUGUGAGCAAUUUCAAAUAAUGACCAAUUUUCCUGGGGAGAGGGGUAAAUGAGAAGAAAAACCAAGUCCAAAGGUCUUAAUUCUGAGGGGAUGAAGAGGCUUGGCCUGUGUGGACAGAUAGUGUGCUUUCAUGGAAAGGCAAGACUUUUCUUUGAGAUAUACAGGAUUGGAAGCAGGGAAGAGGCUAAAGAUGUAGGCUGGGGAGGAGUGGAGUGGGAAGCAAUUCUCUGUCCUCCCUAUAGGCCUUCCUUUGUGGAAAAGAUCACUUAUAGAGAUUGGAAUGGCUACAGGAAAUAGAGACUGGGAUUCUGUUGAAAAACUGGACAGGGAUGGCGACUGUCCUUUGUCUCUGAGCUAGAGGUGGCAGUGGAACAGCCUGUAUCCCUGAGACUUGGAUGCCAAGGUUCCAGGGGGACCUGAACGUCAAGUGGACACAGCAGGAGCAGCAUUUGUGCCACAUUGUCUCCCCAGUGCCAUGUCUAAGCGGGUGCCCACCAGAUGAGAGAACCCUGCAGGGGGCUAUAGGGAUCGUAUUAUGAAAACUGUGUUGGAUCCAACUGUGUUGGAUCAACAGCCAGGAUGAGUUUGCUUCACACUCACAGCAGUUUCCCGGGUAGAAGAAAUUUGAUGCCAAUUCUGCACACCCAAAUUCCUGGCAGAUUAAUCAGCAAGUAGUACAGAGAGCUGCUUUCUUUAAAAAGCUUCAUUUAUCACUCAAACUGUGAAUGCUGAGAUGCCAAGGCACGGUGGAGAAAUGAUCCUUUAGAGGUAAAGUUUGAAUGAUCUGGUAUAUGUAUCAGUACUCUUUCCAUGCAUUCCAAAUCUUGUAUAUAAUGCAGAUUAGAAUGGCAGCUUUUUCUACAGUUAUAUUGGCAACAAACACUGAUUAGCUAUUAAGUAUGGCAAAACAUUUAUUUCAGGCUUCUAUUAUUAGCACCACCUCUUGACUCACAGAGAAAAUUCUUCCCAAAGUUUUGGUUAAUGUGACAGUUUUAUUUGUUAAGACACAAUUUUCCUUUAUCAUCAUUCUCCCACACAGAACCGACCCUCCAUUUCCAAGAUGCCUCCAGACCAAGGAGUUCCCAGUCUGUUCUCACCAUUCCAGUUGGCCCCAGGUCAGCCUGUCUCUAGGGCUUCCAUCCACAAUACAGUCCCAGGAUAGUGCUUCCCAUUACAUUAUAUUCAUGCUAACUAAACUGGCUAGGCAAUGCCCUGGACUUCUAAAGGAGUUCCUCACAGGAUUGAGUUGUCUUUGCCCUGUCCAGGGAGGAACCCCUCUCAUAUGCACAGAAUUCUCGCAAUACUAACGUGUGUUCUUCCCUUUAACAGUAGAACUCCUCAGUUAAGGCUGAAUUCAUGGCCACUGCAUUAAGUUUAUGCUGCAUUUAUGCUGCAUAACAAGCACCCCCAAAAUCUCAGUGGCCUCCCCCCAAAAAAGCCAUUUAUUUUUCUUGCAGUUCAGCAGAGACAGCUCUCCAUCAGUCCAUGGACAGAUUUAGGAUUGGCUUCACUUGUCUCAUCCUCUGAACCAAUAGCUUCCUGGGGCAGGCUCUUCUCAUGCAGGGCGACAGCCAUGCUAGUGGGGUGAGGAGAAACACAAGAGGCCACUUAUGGCCUUGGCUCAGAACUGACACACUGUUACUUCUGCCCACAUUCCCCUGGGCAUCAUUAGGGUAUGGAAGUACUCUAUACCAUGAGGAACCUUGCCAAGCGCUGGGAGGGGAAGAUCAAUGGCAAGCAGAUAGUACAAUCAAUCUCAGCCUCCCUUAUAACUUGGUGUGUCCUUGCAACUAAAUUCUGGCCAAAGGGAUGUGAGGGAAAGCAAUGUGUGCAACUUCCAGGCCUUGUACUUGUAAGGACUGGACACACCCUAACUUUUCCCUGCCCAUCAGCUGAGCACAUGGUGGGGCUGCAGCAAUCACCUGGUCCAGAGGUAGACGGCACAGCUGUCCCUCCAAUCCUAGCUCUGGACUGUUAUAUGUAUGUCAUUUACAUUGGUGGAUUUUUGCAUUGCUGUUAUGGCUUCUGAGCACCCUGGCUAGUACAGCAUCUAUUCAUUCACUCAGUGAGUAUCUACUGAGUGUCUUCUUUGUGACAGGCAUUGCUCUAGGCCUGAGAGGAAGUAUUAGUGAGCAGUCUGCAUCUUGACUGUGGUGAUGUUCACACAAAACCUUCACCUGUGAUAAAAUUGCAUAGAACUAAAUAACACACAUACAUGAGUACGAGUAAAACUGAGGAAAUCUGUACAAGAUCUUUGGCUUGCACCAAUAUUGACAUACUAGUUGUGAUAUUAUAUUACAGUUUUGCAAAGAAACUAGGUAAAGGAUCUCUGUAUUCUUUUAUUUUAUGUUUGUUUAUUUUGAGAGAGAG